This 318-nucleotide ribosomal RNA is filed under the name uncultured bacterium. Its description in RNAcentral is "bacterial SSU rRNA". It matches the Rfam family "Bacterial small subunit ribosomal RNA", at positions 28 to 334 of the family's 1533-position model. The record is from RNAcentral.
GAUGAACGCUGGCGGCGUGCUUAACACAUGCAAGUCGAACGAAGCGAGAACUAAAGCGCAAGCAGAGGUUCUUGACUGAGUGGCGGACGGGUGAGUAACGCGUGGAUAACCUGCCUUUCACAGGGGGAUAACAGCUGGAAACGGUUGCUAAUACCGCAUGAGCCUCUUUUGUCGCAUGACGGGAGAGGGAAAGAGAAAUCGGUGAGAGAUGGAUCCGCGUCCGAUUAGCUAGUUGGAGGGGUAAAAGCCCACCAAGGCGACGAUCGGUAGCCGACCUGAGAGGGUGGACGGCCACAUUGGGACUGAGACACGGCCCAA